UGGGGAAUAUUGGGCAAUGGAGGCAACUCUGACCCAGCAACGCCGCGUGAGCGAUGAAGGUCUUCGGAUUGUAAAGCUCUUUAAGUGGGGACGAAGAAAGUGACUGUACCCACAGAAUAAGCCUCGGCUAACUACGUGCCAGCAGCCGCGGUAAUACGUAGGAGGCAAGCGUUAUCCGGAAUGACUGGGCGUAAAGGGUGCGUAGGUGGUUUGGCAAGUUGGUAGCGUAAUCCCGAGGCUCAACCUCGGUGCUACUACCAAAACUGUUGAACUUGAGUGCAGAAGGGGUAGAUGGAAUUCCUAGUGUAGCGGUGGAAUGCGUAGAUAUUAGGAGGAACACCAGCGGCGAAGGCGAUCUACUGGGCUGUAACUGACACUGAGGCACGAAAGCGUGGGGAGCAAACAGG
RNAcentral lists this ribosomal RNA (407 nucleotides) under uncultured bacterium. RNAcentral's name for it is "bacterial SSU rRNA". It matches the Rfam family "Bacterial small subunit ribosomal RNA", at positions 355 to 776 of the family's 1533-position model. The record is from RNAcentral.